CCCUAAAAGCUUUAUUAGAUUUAAUAUAUUAAUAAUGUAGAUUAUAAAUUUUACUGGGGUAGUGACUUUAAGGUAAUUGAAGUUAGAUAAACAUUAAUGUGGGUUUAGUUCUUAUCUAUAAUAAAAAUUUGAGUUAGUUACUUUAGGGAUAACAGCGUAAUAAUUUCGGAAAGAUCCUAUUUAUGGAGUUGAUUGCGACCUCGAUGUUGAAUUAAAUAAUCUUAGUAGAGCAGAAA
This 236-nucleotide ribosomal RNA is filed under the name Abyssorchomene sp. 3 HR-2015. Its description in RNAcentral is "partial 16S ribosomal RNA". The record is from RNAcentral. Lineage: Eukaryota; Metazoa; Arthropoda; Malacostraca; Amphipoda; Lysianassidae. RNAcentral also lists the same sequence under 1 other name.